UACAGAGGGUGCAAGCGUUAAUCGGAAUUACUGGGCGUAAAGGGUGCGUAGGUGGCUAUAUAAGUUAGGCGUGAAAUCCCCGGGCUCAACCUGGGAACUGCGUUUAGUACUGUAAGGCUAGAGUAUGGGAGAGGGAAGUGGAAUUUCCGGUGUAGCGGUGAAAUGCGUAGAUAUCGGAAGGAACAUCAGUGGCGAAGGCGACUUCCUGGACUAAUACUGACACUGAGGCACGAAAGCGUGGGGAGCAAACAGG
This 253-nucleotide ribosomal RNA is filed under the name uncultured bacterium. RNAcentral describes it as "partial 16S ribosomal RNA". It matches the Rfam family "Bacterial small subunit ribosomal RNA", at positions 524 to 776 of the family's 1533-position model. The record is from RNAcentral.